AGAGUUUGAUCAUGGCUCAGAUUGAACGCUGGCGGCAGGCCUAACACAUGCAAGUCGAACGGUAACAGGAAGCAGCUUGCUGCUUUGCUGACGAGUGGCUGCUUUGCUGACGAGUGGCGGACGGGUGAGUAAUGUCUGGGAAACUGCCCGAUGGAGGGGGAUAACUACUGGAAACGGUAGCUAAUACCGCAUAACGUCGCAAGACCAAAGAGGGGGACCUUCGCCCCCCUCUUGCCAUCGGAUGUGCCCAGAUGGGAUUAGCUAGUAGGUGGGGUAACGGCUCACCUAGGCGACGAUCCCUAGCUGGUCUGAGAGGAUGACCAGCCACACUGGAACUGAGACACGGUCCAGACUCCUACGGGAGGCAGCAGUGGGGAAUAUUGCACAAUGGGCGCAAGCCUGAUGCAGCCAUGCCGCGUGUAUGAAGAAGGCCUUCGGGUUGUAAAGUACUUUCAGCGGGGAGGAAGGGAGUAAAGUUAAUACCUUUGCUCAUUGACGUUACCCGCAGAAGAAGCACCGGCUAACUCCGUGCCAGCAGCCGCGGUAAUACGGAGGGUGCAAGCGUUAAUCGGAAUUACUGGGCGUAAAGCGCACGCAGGCGGUUUGUUAAGUCAGAUGUGAAAUCCCCGGGCUCAACCUGGGAACUGCAUCUGAUACUGGCAAGCUUGAGUCUCGUAGAGGGGGGUAGAAUUCCAGGUGUAGCGGUGAAAUGCGUAGAGAUCUGGAGGAAUACCGGUGGCGAAGGCGGCCCCCUGGACGAAGACUGACGCUCAGGUGCGAAAGCGUGGGGAGCAAACAGGAUUAGAUACCCUGGUAGUCCACGCCGUAAACGAUGUCGACUUGGAGGUUGUGCCCUUGAGGCGUGGCUUCCGGAGCUAACGCGUUAAGUCGACCGCCUGGGGAGUACGGCCGCAAGGUUAAAACUCAAAUGAAUUGACGGGGGCCCGCACAAGCGGUGGAGCAUGUGGUUUAAUUCGAUGCAACGCGAAGAACCUUACCUGGUCUUGACAUCCACGGAAGUUUUCAGAGAUGAGAAUGUGCCUUCGGGAACCGUGAGACAGGUGCUGCAUGGCUGUCGUCAGCUCGUGUUGUGAAAUGUUGGGUUAAGUCCCGCAACGAGCGCAACCCUUAUCCUUUGUUGCCAGCGGUCCGGCCGGGAACUCAAAGGAGACUGCCAGUGAUAAACUGGAGGAAGGUGGGGAUGACGUCAAGUCAUCAUGGCCCUUACGACCAGGGCUACACACGUGCUACAAUGGCGCAUACAAAGAGAAGCGACCUCGCGAGAGCAAGCGGACCUCAUAAAGUGCGUCGUAGUCCGGAUUGGAGUCUGCAACUCGACUCCAUGAAGUCGGAAUCGCUAGUAAUCGUGGAUCAGAAUGCCACGGUGAAUACGUUCCCGGGCCUUGUACACACCGCCCGUCACACCAUGGGAGUGGGUUGCAAAAGAAGUAGGUAGCUUAACCUUCGGGAGGGCGCUUACCACUUUGUGAUUCAUGACUGGGGUGAAGUCGUAACAAGGUAACCGUAGGGGAACCUGCGGUUG
This 1543-nucleotide ribosomal RNA is filed under the name Escherichia coli TOP293-4. RNAcentral describes it as "bacterial SSU rRNA". It matches the Rfam family "Bacterial small subunit ribosomal RNA". The record is from RNAcentral. Lineage: Bacteria; Pseudomonadati; Pseudomonadota; Gammaproteobacteria; Enterobacterales; Enterobacteriaceae.